AGGAGCAAAACACAACGGCAAAUCAGAAAAAACACAACGCAAAAAGAGAAAAAAAAACUACCUACGUUCUUCGAUUUUUGCUUAACGUUGUCGUGUUUUCUGAUUUGCUGUUGUGUUUUGCACCU
This is a non-coding RNA of Xyrichtys novacula (pearly razorfish), 125 nucleotides long. Lineage: Eukaryota; Metazoa; Chordata; Actinopteri; Labriformes; Labridae. The record is from the annotation of a GenBank genome assembly.